RNAcentral lists this ribosomal RNA (496 nucleotides) under uncultured bacterium. Its description in RNAcentral is "partial 16S ribosomal RNA". It matches the Rfam family "Bacterial small subunit ribosomal RNA", at positions 28 to 506 of the family's 1533-position model. The record is from RNAcentral.
GAUGAACGCUGGCGGCGUGCCUAAUACAUGCAAGUCGAGCGAACAGACGAGGAGCUUGCUCCUCUGACGUUAGCGGCGGACGGGUGAGUAACACGUGGAUAACCUACCUAUAAGACUGGGAUAACUUCGGGAAACCGGAGCUAAUACCGGAUAAUAUAUUGAACCGCAUGGUUCAAUAGUGAAAGACGGUUUUGCUGUCACUUAUAGAUGGAUCCGCGCCGCAUUAGCUAGUUGGUAAGGUAACGGCUUACCAAGGCAACGAUGCGUAGCCGACCUGAGAGGGUGAUCGGCCACACUGGAACUGAGACACGGUCCAGACUCCUACGGGAGGCAGCAGUAGGGAAUCUUCCGCAAAGGGCGAAAGCUUGACGGAGCAACGCCGCGUGAGUGAUGAAGGUCUUCGGAUCGUAAAACUCUGUUAUUAGGGAAGAACAAAUGUGCAAGUAACUAUGCACGUCUUGACGGUACCUAAUCAGAAAGCCACGGCUAACUACGU